AUUUGAAGAGGCUCAAUGCGCUUAAGCAUUGGAUGCUUGUCAAGCUUGGUGGUACCUUUGCUCCAUUCAGUGUGUCAAGAUACGAGUGAUACAAACACCACUAUUUGUAUCUGGCAUAAACACAUUUCUGCAAGUUUUGUUUGGCACUAGGUUACCGGUAGUCAUUGGUGGUUGUCCUUUUGAUAUUGUACAUAUCAUCUGCAUUAUCGGAGAUUCAUCUCUACAACGAAUCACUGAACCUCAUGAAAGAUUUUUACACGGUAUGAUGGAAACUCAAGGAGUCCUGAUUGUAGCUGAACGAAGUCAUUGUACUGUUGUUGGUUUGCUUUGUAGUUAGUCGCAUGUGAACCAAGGAAACAACACAUUGAUGCUCUGUUUGAUAUCAUUUGUGAAGUAUUGUCAUAGGAGGAGCUGAAUUACCAUUUUGUUUUUUUAUCAGUUUAUUAGUUUAGCAUGUUGUUCUCAGAACAUAGCAAUCUUGGACACAUAUUAUCUGAACUCAGUAUUUCAUUUCUUUUUUUGUAGUUUUA
This is a long non-coding RNA of Papaver somniferum (opium poppy), 530 nucleotides long. RefSeq lists it as uncharacterized. The record is from RefSeq and is a predicted model, not a curated record. Lineage: Eukaryota; Viridiplantae; Streptophyta; Magnoliopsida; Ranunculales; Papaveraceae. The transcript is spliced from 3 exons.